RNAcentral lists this ribosomal RNA (441 nucleotides) under uncultured bacterium. RNAcentral's name for it is "partial 16S ribosomal RNA". It matches the Rfam family "Bacterial small subunit ribosomal RNA", at positions 338 to 795 of the family's 1533-position model. The record is from RNAcentral.
CCUACGGGGGGCAGCAGUGGGGAAUAUUGCACAAUGGGGGAAACCCUGAUGCAGCGACGCCGCGUGAGUGAAGAAGUAUUUCGGUAUGUAAAGCUCUAUCAGCAGGGAAGCAAAAAGACGGUACCUGACUAAGAAGCCCCGGCUAACUACGUGCCAGCAUCCGCGGUAAUACGUAGGGGGCAAGCGUUAUCCGGAUUUACUGGGUGGAAAGGGAGCGUAGACGGUAUGGCAAGUCUUAAGUGAAAGCCCAGGGCUUAACCCUGGGACUGCUUUGGAAACUGUUAGACGAGAGGGCUGGAGAGGUAAGUGGAAGUCCUAGUGUAGCGGUGACAUGCGUAGAUAUUAGGAGGAACACCAGUGGCGAAGGCGGCUUACUGGACAGUAACUGACGUUGAGGCUCGAAAGCGUGGGGAGCAAACAGGAUUAGAUACCCCGGUAGUC